AGCAUACCGGCUCAGAUGUCACCCGGGUUAACAAGGUCUGUGUCUGAGUUAGGCAGAGGCUCAUAUUCGGAAAGUUCACUACAAUCUCCCUUGGCCACUGGUGGCAAAAGCAGCACCAACCCGAGUCUGGCUACUGCAAUACACAUACCCACAGUAGGGAACGAGUCACCACAUCAGAGCCCAACCAGUCAAAGUGAAUCCCAGGCAACUCAGCUAGAUACCACCAAGGCUAGAAAACCACACCAAUGCAUGAAAUGGACAACAGACAUGAACGAAUUCAUCAUGCAUAAAAUUACACAAUUACAAAAUUAGAAACCGACAUUACAGGAUACAGAAGGGAACUCUCUC
This 348-nucleotide long non-coding RNA is filed under the name Androctonus crassicauda. Lineage: Eukaryota; Metazoa; Arthropoda; Arachnida; Scorpiones; Buthidae. The record is from RNAcentral.